ACGUGGAUAAUUUCAAUUAAAAUAUAAUUAGUAUUCUAAUAAUUGGAAAAAAAAAAAAAAAACCCCCAACAGAAUCCAUAACCCCUCUAGCCCUAAUUAUAAUAGCGUGAUUUAUUUAGAGUUGGACUUAAAAGUGCCACGUGUCAAAAAAUUAGUGGAAUCCGAUUUAUAUUAAAUAUCGGCUCAUCCGAUCAGAAUUUAAUCUCAUU
This 209-nucleotide long non-coding RNA is filed under the name Erythranthe guttata (spotted monkey flower). RNAcentral describes it as "long non-coding RNA (EGUT_LNC000134)". The record is from RNAcentral. Lineage: Eukaryota; Viridiplantae; Streptophyta; Magnoliopsida; Lamiales; Phrymaceae.